Molecule: long non-coding RNA, 2481 nt
Organism: Alligator mississippiensis (American alligator)
Lineage: Eukaryota; Metazoa; Chordata; Crocodylia; Alligatoridae
Exons: 3
Source: RefSeq, a predicted model, not a curated record
CAGGAGGUCAGGCAGCAACAUUGCUUGGCUGUAGGGCUGCUGUGAAUGGCUGGAGGAAGGUGCUAGAUGUCCCCAGGUAUCAGCCUUACCAACUCGAAGGUUUCCAUCAUCACCUCACUUCAGCUUCCCAGGUCCUGCAGCUGCACAUGGGGGAGAGGCCACAGUUGGCAGCCAGGAUGCAAUCUCAGGGUUGCUGCUGCCCACAGCCAGGGCCCUAUGGAUGUGCUGGCUUUGCCAGAAAAGAACCCAGAACUGCAUCGUCCUUCUGGAACGGCUGGUGAUAGCAUCAGAGGAUUGUCUGGUGGAUACAUGAGUCUGGUGGGCAGAGGACAUGGCCCACAAGGAGGCGUGGGAUUGGUGCAAGAAGGUGCAGGACCAGAUGGAUUAGGAAUUCCAGGCUCAGCUCCUGGCCUAGGAGCACGAACAAGUAGAGACCCUGCGGGAGCAGAACAUGGCUCUGAGCAAGGCAGUACAGGCCACAAUGACCACUGGGUGCUGGACACCAUCCAGGCCCUGGUGGCUGCCUUCAUGCUGCCUGAUGCCCAGGCCCUGAGCCUAGCCCAACUUGCCCCCUAGCAGCUACCCCUGCUCAGCAACAGGUCCCCCGAUGGGCCUGGGAAGAGGUCCAGUGCUAUCUCCACCAGCCAGGAGUUCCCUCCCCAGGGUACAGGUCUGACCUAGGCACCAGUUAAAGUGGGCCUGGCAGGGGUCCAGCUGGCCUGUGUGGGACUGCAUUAGCCAGGGAAGCAGUGGGUAGAUGGGGUCCCUGAUGAGAAGGGGUGGGACCACCACAGCUGCGGGUCCGAUGCCCCCAGCAUGAAGCAGCUGCUCUCCACCAGGACUGGCCACAGGACCUAAAGUGUCCUACCAAUCUAGGUGUAGCAGGAGCAGCUCUAGGAGAUCCCAGAAGGUGGCCCAAAUCAUCUGGAAUGCCUCCAGCCACUGCUUCUCAUCCCAGGUGGUUUGGACAAUGUGCAGCCACCAGCCCUGUCUGGCUCAGCAGGCCCAGAGGCAGCAGGGCUGGAGAUCCAGGAGGGCAAAGGCAGCCCUGGUGGUGGCAUCCAGCAGCCCAUCGUCGGCAUCCCUGCUGGGGUCUAGCCAGUUCACAGGGUCCAGGUGGCAGCUACACAGUGGUGGCAGUGGUGGCCCUGGUGUGCUGCAGCCAGGCAAGUGGUUGCUGUACUUAGGGGAGCUGGGAGAGCUCAGAUGAACACGGGCCAGCUGGCAGUUAAUGAGGUGGGCCAGCAGAGCCAGUGCUGUAGCCAGCAGGAGCCUGGGAUGCUGGUUGUCAUUGCCAGGGGCAGGAGCUGAAGCAGCCAUAGUAUGGGGAGGCAGAGGCAGCAAGGAGAGAGCUGUUAUGUACUGCCCCUGUGCUGUGCACAUUGCUUCUGGCCAGGGAAGUGGCUGGCCAGGGAGCAGAGAACAGGACUGGCUUUACAAGAUGGCUGCUGGCAGCUGCAGCUGGAGCCUCAAGCUCCCUCCAGUGGCAGCAGGGACCCAUUGCAGGGCCACAGGAACUGGCACCAGUUGGCUGCUAAGAGCAGCAAAUCUGCUGCCAUGUCCCUGCAUAUGUAGAUGCCUGCCUGGAAGCAUCUUGCAAGUAAACUGAUCUCGGAACAAAUACGUGUGUGGACAUGCCAGAUAUGUGUCAGUGGCUGAGUAAACCUUAAAAAUGUACUUCAAGAUGCGUUAUCAGAAAAGUAGUCAGAACAAUUCUAAUCCACUACCAUAUGAUCCUUAAAAACAAUUAUUUAAGAUAUCAGAUCACAAUUGCUUUAGAUUCCCUUUGACCCAGUUAUGCCCCAGUAAUACAGUUAUGUUGCUGUGAUGAGAUUACCAAAGCAAUCAGGUAACACUCUGAAUGCUGAAAUUAUACCAACUUCACUGUGGCUUGAUGAUGUUAAAUUAUGUUUUAUGCAAUUCAAUAGAAGGCGGUUUCCUCAAGAUAUCCAAGGAGAUAGCUACUAAUUAAAUCCUAUCUGUGGUAAAAAUGUUUUAUACAUGCUGUGUCUUACCAUAUCUUAGACAAUGCUACUAGAAGUCCUGCUUGCAACCGAUAUAAUGUGCAUGAAUAAGCACAUAUAUUAAGCAUACAAAUUUGUGUCUUCACCUCCAACAUGGAAAUACGUGGGAGAUGAAAAGGGUUCUUCUGUGCAGCAUACUUCCCUUGAGAGCCGUCCGAGAAUUCUUUGUGCCUUUUCAGAAAAAGGGGUGUGCCCUGACAAGAAGUAAAACAAACAGAAGCAUUAGCCACAGGGCAGAUAGACCAUAACUGCUUUGUAAUGCUCUGGUGGAGUGGGCCAUGGAGUUGAUGGCAUGCCAGUAGCAUAGCACAUGGGAAGAGACAAAGCCAGACUACUAAAGUUUUCUCACCAAUCUCAGCUACCAAUUAUAGCCACUUGUGGGAGCAGUUGGGCACAACUCAGAGCAUCUCUGAAGAGGUGUUAAUUGUUUUGGUCCCAGGAACAAGGAUGUAUUAAA